Molecule: ribosomal RNA, 468 nt
Filed under: uncultured bacterium
Lineage: Bacteria
Description: partial 16S ribosomal RNA
Rfam family: Bacterial small subunit ribosomal RNA
Source: RNAcentral
GACGAACGCUGGCGGCGUGCUUAACACAUGCAAGUCGAACGGAAAGGCCCUGCUUUUGUGGGGUGCUCGAGUGGCGAACGGGUGAGUAACACGUGAGUAACCUGCCCUUGACUUUGGGAUAACUUCAGGAAACUGGGGCUAAUACCGGAUAUGAGCUCCUGCUGCAUGGUGGGGGUUGGAAAGUUUCGGCGGUUGGGGAUGGACUCGCGGCUUAUCAGCUUGUUGGUGGGGUAGUGGCUUACCAAGGCUUUGACGGGUAGCCGGCCUGAGAGGGUUACCGGCCACAUUGGGACUGAGAUACGGCCCAGACUCCUACGGGAGGCAGCAGUGGGGAAUAUUGCACAAUGGGCGGAAGCCUGAUGCAGCAACGCCGCGUGCGGGAUGACGGCCUUCGGGUUGUAAACCGCUUUCGCCUGUGACGAAGCGUGAGUGACGGUAAUGGGUAAAGAAGCACCGGCUAACUACGUG